GACGAACGCUGGCGGCGUGCUUAACACAUGCAAGUCGAACGGAAAGGCCCUGCUUUUGUGGGGUGCUCGAGUGGCGAACGGGUGAGUAACACGUGAGUAUCCUGCCCUUGACUUUGUGAUAACUUCAGGAGACUGGGGCGAAUACCGGAUAGGAGCUCCUGCUGCGUGUGGGGGGUUGGAAAGUGUCGGCGGUGGGGUAUGGACUCGCGGCUUAUCAGCUUGUUGGUGUGGUAGUGGCUUUCCAAGGCUUCGACGGGUAGGCGGCAUUGGAGGGUGGCCGGCCACAUUGGGACUACGAUACGGCCCAGACUCCUACGGGAGGCAGCAGUGGGGAAUAUUGCACAAUGGGGGGAAGCCUGAUGCAGCAACGCCGCGUGCGGGAUGACGGCCUUCGGGUUGUAAACCGCUUUCGCCUGUGACGAAGCGUGAGUGACGGUAAUGGGUAAAGAAGCACCGGCUAACUACGUG
Molecule: ribosomal RNA, 468 nt
Filed under: uncultured bacterium
Lineage: Bacteria
Description: partial 16S ribosomal RNA
Rfam family: Bacterial small subunit ribosomal RNA
Source: RNAcentral